GGAGGUGGAAGUGCAGUAAUGCAUGGAGCUGACCAAUACUAAUCGGUCGAGGGCUUAUCCUAUA
Molecule: ribosomal RNA, 64 nt
Filed under: Paenibacillus odorifer
Lineage: Bacteria; Bacillati; Bacillota; Bacilli; Caryophanales; Paenibacillaceae
Description: partial 23S ribosomal RNA
Source: RNAcentral